GAGUGAGAAGUGGCAGCAUCAUCAACUCCAAAGACAGCUUUAUACAAGAUUAGCAUCUUCAACAAGAAUGUCAGAGGCAUGAAAAUGAGGAAAAUGUAAUCACAAUCACUCACUAUGAAUUUCCUGGGACAAAAUUAAACUUAAAUGGCAACAAAAGGUAAGUGACUCCCAUGCAGUGAUUGCCAAAUGGGCUUUCUUCCCAGGUCCUCUGAAAGAAUCUGGAGGAAAUAAUGAUGCUCAGGAGACAAUUCAUGAUCACUCGGAAUUUCUGACAACCAUGGCAAGUAUGAUAGCAACAAAGAGAUAAGCUUUAAGCAAUUUCUAAAUAUUGUACAUUUCCGUUUAUUUAGAUUAUCAUCACAAUGGUUUGUUUUGUUGUUUGUUUUUGUUUUUUUGAGAUAGAGUCUCGCUCUGUCACCCAGGGCUGGAGUGCAGUGGUGCGAUCUUGGCUCACUGCAACCUCUGCUUCCUGGGCUCAAGUGAUUCUCAUGCCUCAGCCUCCCGAGUAGCUGGGAUUACAGGUGUGUGCCACUGCACCUGGCUAAUUUUUGUAAUUUUAGUAGAGAUGGGGUUUCUCCAUGUUGGCCAGGCUGGUCACGAACUCCUGGCCUUAAGUGAUCCACCCGCUUCAGCCUCCCAAAGUGUUUGGAUUACAAGCGUGAGCCACCGCACCUGGCCCAACACAAUGGAUAUUUAUAAAGUCAAUUUUUUUAUGGGGUUGAGAAAGAUACCUUUUAAAAAUAAUGGGAAAAUAUUCUGUUUGUACACAGAGAUAAAGAAUACGUAUGAUGAUCUUGAAAAUGACUUGCCUAUCAGCCUGGAACAGUACGGAUUGAUCAGAAACGUUUUUGGAGAAAAUAACAGAAGCCUGCCCAAUCCAGAAAUGUUCAGCUGCAGAUCCUGGCCUCUCCACACUUAA
RNAcentral lists this long non-coding RNA (919 nucleotides) under Pan troglodytes (chimpanzee). RNAcentral's name for it is "lncRNA (ENSPTRG00000053008.1)". The record is from RNAcentral. Lineage: Eukaryota; Metazoa; Chordata; Mammalia; Primates; Hominidae.